UUUUUUUUUUUUUUUUUUUUUUUC
This 24-nucleotide non-coding RNA is filed under the name Alexandrium minutum. Lineage: Eukaryota; Dinophyceae; Gonyaulacales; Pyrocystaceae. The record is from RNAcentral.